Molecule: ribosomal RNA, 164 nt
Filed under: Rhabditophanes sp. VP-2015
Lineage: Eukaryota; Metazoa; Nematoda; Chromadorea; Rhabditida; Alloionematidae
Description: partial 18S ribosomal RNA
Rfam family: Eukaryotic small subunit ribosomal RNA
Source: RNAcentral
CCCUUUGUACACACCGCCCGUCGCUGCCCGGAACUGAGCCGUAUCGAGAAGAUUGGGGAGAGUUGGUAUUUAUAUCAGUUCAAACCAAUUUAAUCGCUAUAGUUUGAACCGGGCAAAAGUCGUAACAAGGUUUUCGUAGGUGAACCUGCGAAAGGAUCAUUAAG